UACGGGAGAAAGCAGGGGACCUUCGGGCCUUGCGCUAUCAGAUGAGCCUAGGUCGGAUUAGCUAGUUGGUGAGGUAAUGGCUCACCAAGGCGACGAUCCGUAACUGGUCUGAGAGGAUGAUCAGUCACACUGGAACUGAGACACGGUCCAGACUCCUACGGGAGGCAGCAGUGGGGAAUAUUGGACAAUGGGCGAAAGCCUGAUCCAGCCAUGCCGCGUGUGUGAAGAAGGUCUUCGGAUUGUAAAGCACUUUAAGUUGGGAGGAAGGGCAGUAACUUAAUACGUUGCUGUUUUGACGUU
Molecule: ribosomal RNA, 300 nt
Filed under: Pseudomonas sp.
Lineage: Bacteria; Pseudomonadati; Pseudomonadota; Gammaproteobacteria; Pseudomonadales; Pseudomonadaceae
Rfam family: Bacterial small subunit ribosomal RNA
Source: RNAcentral